CUUCUCAGUUACCCACUUUUGAAUUAAGCAGCAUCUUCCUCUGAACCCAUAACAGUGCAGGAGGAGGGGAAGGAAGCCGUGGCACAGAUCUCCCCGCAGAAGCAAUGGAGGGAAGCGUGCACGCAUGGCAGGGUGCUGUGUUACCUCCCUGCCCCCCUUGGCUGCAUUCAGCACCGCAAAUCCUCCCAUAUCCAACAGCCGUCCCGCACAACAGAUACAACAGUGACCAAGUUUAAGGAAGUUUAAUAAACAGGCCAAAGAAAACAAUACGACUUCGAACCAGCAGCGAGCAUGGUUUAACCACCAGCCAACUGAGAAAUUCUCAUUAUACCUCACACGCAGAGCCCUUCACCACUUCCAUGUGCUAAGGCCGGAUCCUGAAACCAUCGCUCCUCUGGGAGCAGCGCGGCUCCCGACCUUCCUCGGCGCAAACCCUCCCACGUGGGACCUUCAGAGCAGCGCCGACAGCUCCUUUUGUUUCGUCUUUCGUUUCUUCGGACAGCCCGCAGGAACGCGCAAACCCACGUGCCUCGCGGCCGCCCGCGCCCGAAG
This 552-nucleotide long non-coding RNA is filed under the name Gallus gallus (chicken). Lineage: Eukaryota; Metazoa; Chordata; Aves; Galliformes; Phasianidae. The record is from RNAcentral.